AAAUUGAAGAGUUUGAUCAUGGCUCAGAUUGAACGCUGGCGGCAGGCCUAACACAUGCAAGUCGAACGGCAGCACAGAAGAGCUUGCUCUUUGGGUGGCGAGUGGCGGACGGGUGAGUAAUGUCUGGGAAACUGCCCGAUGGAGGGGGAUAACUACUGGAAACGGUAGCUAAUACCGCAUAACGUCGCAAGACCAAAGUGGGGGACCUUCGGGCCUCACACCAUCGGAUGUGCCCAGAUGGGAUUAGCUAGUAGGUGGGGUAAUGGCUCACCCAGGCGACGAUCCCUAGCUGGUCUGAGAGGAUGACCAGCCACACUGGAACUGAGACACGGUCCAGACUCCUACGGGAGGCAGCAGUGGGGAAUAUUGCACAAUGGGCGCAAGCCUGAUGCAGCCAUGCCGCGUGUAUGAAGAAGGCCUUCGGGUUGUAAAGUACUUUCAGCGGGGAGGAAGGCGGUGAGGUUAAUAACCUCGCCGAUUGACGUUACCCGCAGAAGAAGCACCGGCUAACUCCGUGCCAGCAGCCGCGGUAAUACGGAGGGUGCAAGCGUUAAUCGGAAUUACUGGGCGUAAAGCGCACGCAGGCGGUCUGUUAAGUCAGAUGUGAAAUCCCCGGGCUUAACCUGGGAACUGCAUUUGAAACUGGCAGGCUUGAGUCUCGUAGAGGGGGGUAGAAUUCCAGGUGUAGCGGUGAAAUGCGUAGAGAUCUGGAGGAAUACCGGUGGCGAAGGCGGCCCCCUGGACGAAGACUGACGCUCAGGUGCGAAAGCGUGGGGAGCAAACAGGAUUAGAUACCCUGGUAGUCCACGCCGUAAACGAUGUCGACUUGGAGGUUGUGCCCCUGAGGCGUGGCUUCCGGAGCUAACGCGUUAAGUCGACCGCCUGGGGAGUACGGCCGCAAGGUUAAAACUCAAAUGAAUUGACGGGGGCCCGCACAAGCGGUGGAGCAUGUGGUUUAAUUCGAUGCAACGCGAAGAACCUUACCUGGCCUUGACAUCCAGAGAACUUAGCAGCGAUGCUUUGGUGCCUUCGGGAACUCUGAGACAGGUGCUGCAUGGCUGUCGUCAGCUCGUGUUGUGAAAUGUUGGGUUAAGUCCCGCAACGAGCGCAACCCUUAUCCUUUGUUGCCAGCGGCUCUGCCGGGAACUCAAGGGAGACUGCCGGUGAUAAACCGGAGGAAGGUGGGGAUGACGUCAAGUCAUCAUGGCCCUUACGGCCAGGGCUACACACGUGCUACAAUGGCGCAUACAAAGAGAAGCGACCUCGCGAGAGCAAGCGGACCUCAUAAAGUGCGUCGUAGUCCGGAUUGGAGUCUGCAACUCGACUCCAUGAAGUCGGAAUCGCUAGUAAUCGUAGAUCAGAAUGCUACGGUGAAUACGUUCCCGGGCCUUGUACACACCGCCCGUCACACCAUGGGAGUGGGUUGCAAAAGAAGUAGGUAGCUUAACCUUCGGGAGGGCGCUUACCACUUUGUGAUUCAUGACUGGGGUGAAGUCGUAACAAGGUAACCGUAGGGGAACCUGCGGUUGGAUCACCUCCUUACCUGAA
RNAcentral lists this ribosomal RNA (1548 nucleotides) under Pantoea sp. Pent. RNAcentral describes it as "bacterial SSU rRNA". It matches the Rfam family "Bacterial small subunit ribosomal RNA". Lineage: Bacteria; Pseudomonadati; Pseudomonadota; Gammaproteobacteria; Enterobacterales; Erwiniaceae. The record is from RNAcentral.